CUUGUCUUGUUGCUAUUAUUGCAACAUAAUGUUUUCUAAAUUCAUAUUUUAAUAAUUUAUAUUACCUACUAUUGCAAACUUCCUGGUUUAAAACAACAGAAAUUUGAAACCUGCUUCCUUGGGUCAUAAUGAAAAAUCAGGAGGACUGUUCUUCCUCUGGAGAUAUUCAUAAAGAGCUCAUGGUUUGUCACUUCUAGUUUCUGGUGGAUGCCAGCAUUCUGUGGCUUGUGGCUGCAUCCCUCCCAUCUCUGCCUCUGUGGUUACACUGCCUUCUCUGACUCUACCUGUGUCAAACUUCCCUCUCUGCCUUUCUCUUAUAAAACACUCCUAGUGCCUUUCAGAGCCCACCUGGGUAAUCCAGGAUGUUCUCCCUAUCUCAAAAUUCUUAAUUCCAUCAGUAAAUUCUUUUUGCCAUAGGUAACCUUUAAAAAUUCCAGAGGUCAGGACCCAAUGCAUUUGGGAGUCAUAAUUCAGUUUACCACGACGGCUAUCAGAAUGGGGCCUGGGCCCACCCUUCCCCCAGGUUUAAUCCUGGUUCUGCACGGAAUGAGGUUUCAGUGCUUUGUCACAUACAAAAUGGGAUGGGAAUCCAUGGAGUUCUACCAAGAUAUUUCCCAAUAGGUCACUAGAUGUGGGUUAUGCUGGGACUACACCAUUUUGAAUGCCUGUUUAUAAAGAAAGGGAAAUUUAUCUUGUGGUAUCAAGGCUGUUUCAGAGAUUCAUUCUUCAGCAUACCUCUUUGGACUGAGAAAGAGGGAUCAUUUGAAAAAUACAUUGAGAAAUGCAACUACCAGUUCUCCUGGAGACUAUUUAGUCUCAUGUGUUUGGAAUGCAGCAUUCACUGAGAGAACCAGCAGAGCCCUGACAGAGUAGAAUUUACUUUGGGACAAAGGUGGGA
RNAcentral lists this long non-coding RNA (898 nucleotides) under Fukomys damarensis (Damara mole-rat). RNAcentral describes it as "lncRNA (ENSFDAG00000021816.1)". Lineage: Eukaryota; Metazoa; Chordata; Mammalia; Rodentia; Bathyergidae. The record is from RNAcentral.